CGGAUGAAGUUUGCCCACAGCCAAAGUUGGAGACGGAGUCUGGACGAAGCUUGUCUGAGUUGAAGUUGGAGACGGAGUCCGGCUCCCGUCUGGACGAAGUUUGUCCAUAGCUGAAGUUGGAGAUGGAGUCUGGCUCCCGUAGGAGUUCGGACGAAGUUUGCCCGCAGUCGAAGUUGGAGACAGAGUCCGGCUCCCGUAGGAGUCCGGACGAAGUUCGCCUGCAGCCGAAGUUGGAGACGGAGUUCNNN
RNAcentral lists this long non-coding RNA (248 nucleotides) under Elaeis guineensis (African oil palm). Its description in RNAcentral is "long non-coding RNA (EGUI_LNC054490)". The record is from RNAcentral. Lineage: Eukaryota; Viridiplantae; Streptophyta; Magnoliopsida; Arecales; Arecaceae.